RNAcentral lists this long non-coding RNA (611 nucleotides) under Coturnix japonica (Japanese quail). Its description in RNAcentral is "lncRNA (ENSCJPG00005004159.1)". Lineage: Eukaryota; Metazoa; Chordata; Aves; Galliformes; Phasianidae. The record is from RNAcentral.
GUGGAAGUUAAAAUAAGCUGCUCCUGUUUUUACCCGCAGUAUCACAUUAAGGAGAUUAUUCUGAGUAAGCCAAUGUCAUUUUGUUUAUACUGUUAAAAAGCGUGUCUCGUCAUGUACUUCACUUUCACUGCUCUGUAGAAUGACUUAGAACAGAUUUUACAGAUUGAUGCAAGCAACUUUCCUGAAAUAUGAUCUUGCUGGCUGCUUUUUCUUUAUCUUUGAAGUCUGCAAGUUUAUUCAGCAUAUUAUUUUCUGUUGUCAGGUCAACAGAAUGAGUCCCUGAGAAGCCUGGUCACGGUGAUGACCACUGUAAACACAGAAGUCAUAGACUGAAUUUUGGGCCCUGUUUGGGUUCUUUUGCAGUGGGGGAGGGGGAUGACUAUCAUAGAAUCCUAGAAUCAUAGAAUUACCCAGAUUGGAAAAGACCCUGAAGAUCAUCAAGUCCAACCACAGCCUAACCAUAGUACCCUAACUCUAACAACCAUCUGCUAAAUCAUAUCCCUGAGCACCACAUCCAAAUGGCUCUUAAACACAUCCAGGUAUGGUGACUAUAUUAACUACUAAAAUAAUUCCUGAAAGUUUGCAUGUUUGAAAAGGCUAAAGCUGGGGAG